AAAGGUAAGCUACUAAGAGCGAAUGGUGGAUGCCUUGACUGGUAAAGGCGAUGAAGGACGUACUAGACUGCGAUAAGCUACGGGGAGCUGUCAAGAAGCUUUGAUCCGUAGAUUUCCGAAUGGGGCAACCCAAUGUAUAGAGAUAUACAUUACCUAUAUAGGAGCGAACGAGGGGAAUUGAAACAUCUUAGUACUCUCAGGAAAAGAAAUCAAUAGAGAUUGCGUCAGUAGCGGCGAGCGAAAGCGCAAGAGGGCAAACCCAGUGCUUGCACUGGGGGUUGUAGGACUGCAAUGUGCAAGAGGU
RNAcentral lists this ribosomal RNA (304 nucleotides) under Campylobacter jejuni. RNAcentral's name for it is "partial 23S ribosomal RNA". It matches the Rfam family "Bacterial large subunit ribosomal RNA", at positions 1 to 323 of the family's 2925-position model. The record is from RNAcentral. Lineage: Bacteria; Pseudomonadati; Campylobacterota; Epsilonproteobacteria; Campylobacterales; Campylobacteraceae.